CGCUGGCGGCAUGCUUUACACAUGCAAGUCGAACGGUAACAGGCCGCAAGGUGCUGACGAGUGGCGAACGGGUGAGUAAUGCAUCGGAACGUGCCCAGUCGUGGGGGAUAACGCAGCGAAAGCUGCGCUAAUACCGCAUACGAUCUAUGGAUGAAAGCGGGGGACCGUAAGGCCUCGCGCGAUUGGAGCGGCCGAUGUCAGAUUAGGUAGUUGGUGGGGUAAAGGCUCACCAAGCCAACGAUCUGUAGCUGGUCUGAGAGGACGACCAGCCACACUGGGACUGAGACACGGCCCAGACUCCUACGGGAGGCAGCAGUGGGGAAUUUUGGACAAUGGGCGCAAGCCUGAUCCAGCAAUGCCGCGUGCAGGAAGAAGGCCUUCGGGUUGUAAACUGCUUUUGUACGGAACGAAAAGGCUCUGGUUAAUACCUGGGGCACAUGACGGUACCGUAAGAAUAAGCACCGGCUAACUA
Molecule: ribosomal RNA, 472 nt
Filed under: Hydrogenophaga sp. CL1.83
Lineage: Bacteria; Pseudomonadati; Pseudomonadota; Betaproteobacteria; Burkholderiales; Comamonadaceae
Description: bacterial SSU rRNA
Rfam family: Bacterial small subunit ribosomal RNA
Source: RNAcentral